RNAcentral lists this non-coding RNA (976 nucleotides) under Pan troglodytes (chimpanzee). The record is from RNAcentral. Lineage: Eukaryota; Metazoa; Chordata; Mammalia; Primates; Hominidae.
GGCCGCUGUCCGGCACCCGGAGGAGGCUGGGCUGUGCGCGGCGUUUGGGGGUCGGCGUCGCCCGCACGCUCUGCGAGCCUUGGGCCCGCGUACCUUCCAGUAGAGCACCCCGAGCCGUCGCAGCUGCUCCAGGCCCACUGGGCGGCCGGGGUCGGGGCGGUGGGGUUGCCGCGGGUCGCCCGGGGCGUCGUCCAUAUACCAGGCCUGCACCAUGACGCGCAGUGCGGGUGCCGUGUUCGAACCCAGGGGCCGCGCUGGGAGCCCGGCGGCCGCGCUUUGUUUUAUAGGGAGGCGUGGACGCGCAUGGGAGCCGGGAUUGGGCGGCUGGUUGGAGGCAGGGCCGGCGCGGGGGAGGCCCCACGGCUCCGCUGUUUUCGGAGGCAAAGGCAUUCAAGCCCCGGCCCUGGCCUGGGCACCCUCGGACCUGCCUGAGGCCCGCGGCCCGGGGCCAGCCGUUCGCCAGACGCGCCGGGCAGGUGAAGCUCACCGUAGGCAUCGCACGUGCCUUGUGUGUGCUGCCGCGGUCUCCCUGCACCUUCAGAGCAAUCUUGUGAGGCAAAAGACGUUAAACGUGUUUAGAGCAUGGAAAGCAAAUGCAAAAAAAAAAAAAGAAAAGAAGAAGGAUUUUGUUAAGCUCAUGCAGUCCAUAUGGGCACAGUUGAGACUUCACAGCUCGGAUCCCAGGUAUGGGGGAAACAGUUUUAUGCCAUAAAAAACAUACUUUAGAAAAGCAAGAUGAUGGAGAGGCUCUGAGGAAUUGCCAAGGCAGCCCAGCACUUGCUGCUGGCAGGAGUUCAAGCGGGCAGAAUCAGAUGAGAACAGCACUCAUUACUUCAUACGGACAUUGCCGGCCCAUGGGAUUCCUCCUUUGAAGGGGAAUCUUUGGAACUUGAACUGUCUCUUCCAGAAGAAUAGCCAGCAGCAGCCCAAAAAUAUGUUUCAUGACCAGAAUGUAUCACCCCGAUGUAAGACACUU